This 372-nucleotide ribosomal RNA is filed under the name uncultured organism. RNAcentral's name for it is "partial 16S ribosomal RNA". It matches the Rfam family "Bacterial small subunit ribosomal RNA", at positions 527 to 896 of the family's 1533-position model. The record is from RNAcentral.
GUAGGUGGCAAGCGUUGUCCGGAAUUAUUGGGCGUAAAGCGCGCGCAGGCGGUCCUUUAAGUCUGAUGUGAAAGCCCACGGCUCAACCGUGGAGGGUCAUUGGAAACUGGGGGACUUGAGUACAGAAGAGGAAAGCGGAAUUCCAAGUGUAGCGGUGAAAUGCGUAGAGAUCUGGAGGAACACCAGUGGCGAAGGCGGCUUUCUGGUCUGUAACUGACGCUGAGGCGCGAAAGCGUGGGGAGCAAACAGGGAUUAGAUACCCUGGUAGUCCACGCCGUAAACGAUGAGUGCUAAGUGUUAGGGGGUUUCCGCCCCCUUAGUGCUGCAGCUAACGCAUUAAGCACUCCGCCUGGGGAUACGGCCGCAAGGCUG